UACGGGGGGUGUAAGCGUUGUUCGGAAUUACUGGGCGUAAAGGGCGUGCAGGCGGUCACCGCAAGUUGAAUGUGAAGUCCCUGGGCUUAACCCAGGACGUGCGUUCAAGACUGCGGGACCCGAAUACGGGAGAGGAUCGUGGAAUUCCUGGUGUAGAGGUGAAAUUCGUAGAGAUCAGGAGGAACACUCGUGGCGAAGGCGACGAUCUGGACCGAUAUUGACGCUGAGACGCGAAAGCGUGGGUAGCAAA
This 250-nucleotide ribosomal RNA is filed under the name uncultured prokaryote. RNAcentral describes it as "partial 16S ribosomal RNA". It matches the Rfam family "Bacterial small subunit ribosomal RNA", at positions 524 to 772 of the family's 1533-position model. The record is from RNAcentral.